UCCCUGGCGGUCCAGUGGUGAGGACUUGAUGCUUUCACUGUGGUGGCCCAGGUUCAAUCCCUGGCGAGGGAA
Non-coding RNA from Bos taurus (domestic cattle), 72 nucleotides. The record is from Rfam. NCBI's taxonomy places the organism in Eukaryota, Metazoa, Chordata, Mammalia, Artiodactyla, Bovidae.